UACGUAGGGUGCAAGCGUUAAUCGGAAUUACUGGGCGUAAAGGGCUCGUAGGCGGCCAACUAAGUCAGACGUGAAAUCCCUCGGCUUAACCGGGGAACUGCGUCUGAUACUGGAUGGCUUGAGUUUGGGAGAGGGAUGCGGAAUUCCAGGUGUAGCGGUGAAAUGCGUAGAUAUCUGGAGGAACACCGGUGGCGAAGGCGGCAUCCUGGACCAACACUGACGCUGAAGCGCGAAAGCUAGGGGAGCGAACGGG
Molecule: ribosomal RNA, 253 nt
Filed under: uncultured bacterium
Lineage: Bacteria
Description: partial 16S ribosomal RNA
Rfam family: Bacterial small subunit ribosomal RNA
Source: RNAcentral